GUGGGUAUAGCUCAGUGGUAGAGCACAUGCUUAGCAUGUGUGAGGCCCUGAGUUCAUCCCCAGUACCACCA
RNAcentral lists this transfer RNA (71 nucleotides) under Camelus bactrianus (Bactrian camel). It matches the Rfam family "tRNA". From Rfam's summary of the family: Transfer RNA (tRNA) molecules are approximately 80 nucleotides in length. Lineage: Eukaryota; Metazoa; Chordata; Mammalia; Artiodactyla; Camelidae. The record is from Rfam by way of RNAcentral. RNAcentral also lists the same sequence under 2 other names.